Molecule: ribosomal RNA, 253 nt
Filed under: uncultured bacterium
Lineage: Bacteria
Description: partial 16S ribosomal RNA
Rfam family: Bacterial small subunit ribosomal RNA
Source: RNAcentral
UACAGAGGGGGCAAGCGUUAUUCGGAAUUAUUGGGCGUAAAGGGCGCGUAGGCGGCCUGGCAAGUGGAAGGUGAAAUCCCUCGGCUUAACCAAGGAACUGCCCUCCAAACUGCUUGGCUUGAGACCGGGAGAGGUGAGUGGAAUUCCCAGUGUAGCGGUGAAAUGCGUAGAUAUUGGGAGGAACACCAGUGGCGAAGGCGGCUCACUGGACCGGUACUGACGCUGAUGCGCGAAAGCGUGGGGAGCAAACAGG